This 440-nucleotide ribosomal RNA is filed under the name uncultured bacterium. RNAcentral's name for it is "partial 16S ribosomal RNA". It matches the Rfam family "Bacterial small subunit ribosomal RNA", at positions 338 to 795 of the family's 1533-position model. The record is from RNAcentral.
CCUACGGGAGGCAGCAGUGGGGGAUAUUGCACAAUGGGGGAAACCCUGAUGCAGCGACGCCGCGUGUGGGAAGACGGUCCUCUGGAUUGUAAACCACUGUCCCCAGGGACGAAGAUGACGGUACCUGGGGAGGAAGCUCCGGCUAACUACGUGCCAGCAGCCGCGGUAAUACGUAGGGAGCGAGCGUUGUCCGGAAUUACUGGGUGUAAAGGGAGCGUAGGCGGGACUGCAAGUUGGGUGUCAAAUCUACCGGCUCAACCGGUAGCCGCACUCAAAACUGCAGUUCUAGAGUGAAGUAGAGGCAGGCGGAAUUCCUAGUGUAGCGGUGAAAUGUGUAGAUAUUAGGAGGAACACCAGUGGCGAAGCCGGCCUGCUGGGCUUUUACUGACGCUGAGGCUCGAAAGUGUGGGGAGCAAACAGGAUUAGAUACCCCAGUAGUC